UACGGGGGGGGCAAGUGUUACUCGAAUGGACUUGGCGUAAGGGGUACGUAGAUUGCUUUUGGAGCUCUAAGUAAAAGACCUGCAGGAGGCUUGAAUUAACUUGGACAGACUUUUUAGCUAGAGUUCGGGAGAGGGGGUCAGUACUCUCAAUGUAAGGGUGAAAUCUGCAGAAAUUGACGGGGACUACCAAUAGGCAAAGGCAGACCCCCAGAACGAAACUGACGUUGAGGUACUAAAGCGUGGGGAGCAAACGGG
RNAcentral lists this ribosomal RNA (255 nucleotides) under uncultured prokaryote. RNAcentral's name for it is "partial 16S ribosomal RNA". It matches the Rfam family "Bacterial small subunit ribosomal RNA", at positions 524 to 776 of the family's 1533-position model. The record is from RNAcentral.